RNAcentral lists this ribosomal RNA (460 nucleotides) under uncultured bacterium. Its description in RNAcentral is "partial 16S ribosomal RNA". It matches the Rfam family "Bacterial small subunit ribosomal RNA", at positions 338 to 795 of the family's 1533-position model. The record is from RNAcentral.
CCUACGGGUGGCAGCAGUGAGGAAUAUUGGUCAAUGGCCGGAAGGCUGAACCAGCCAUGCCGCGUGAAGGUCAGUGCCCUAUGGGCGUUAAACUUCUUUUGUGCGGGAGCAAUAAUGGUCACGUGUGCCCAGACGAGAGUACCGUACGAAUAAGCAUCGGCUAACUCCGUGCCAGCAGCCGCGGUAAUACGGGGGACGCAAGCGUUAUCCGGAUUUUUUGGGUUUAAAGGGUGCGUAAGCUGUGAGGUAAGUCAGCGGUGAAAUGCCCCCGCUCAACGGGGUGAAGUGCCAUUGAUACUGCCUUGCUGGAGUGCGGAUGCGGUGGGAGGAAUGUGUGGUGUAGCGGUGAAAUGCAUAGAGAUCACACAGAACACCGAUUGCGAAGGCAUCUCACGAAUCCGCGAUUGACGCUGAUGCACGAAAGCGUGGGGAUCAAACAGGAUUAGAUACCCUUGUAGUC